AGGAUGAACGCUGGCGGCGUGCCUAACACAUGCAAGUCGAACGUGAGGGAAUAGCAAUAUUUCUGAAAGUGGCGCACGGGUGAGUAAGACGUAGGUAACCUGCCCUGGAGCGGGGAUAACAACUGGAAACGGUUGCUAACACCGCAUAUUGCCGAGUAUCGGAGAUACUUGGGUGAAACUCUGGUGCUUCAGGAGGGCCUACGGCCGAGUUAGCUAGUUGGCGGGUAAGCGCCCACGAAGGCGACGAUCGGUAGCUGGUCUGAGAGGACGAUCAGCCACACGGGAACUGAGACACGGUCCCGACUCCGUACGGGGGCAGCACGUGAGGAUAUGGGCAAGUGGCGCAAGCCUGACCAGCAACGCGCGUGGAGAUGAACGGUCCUUACGGGUCGUAAAC
Molecule: ribosomal RNA, 397 nt
Filed under: uncultured soil bacterium
Lineage: Bacteria
Description: bacterial SSU rRNA
Rfam family: Bacterial small subunit ribosomal RNA
Source: RNAcentral